This 400-nucleotide ribosomal RNA is filed under the name uncultured bacterium. RNAcentral describes it as "bacterial SSU rRNA". It matches the Rfam family "Bacterial small subunit ribosomal RNA", at positions 362 to 757 of the family's 1533-position model. The record is from RNAcentral.
UCUUCCACGAUGGGUGCAAACCUGAUGGAGCAAUGCCGCGUGAGUGAAGAAGGUCUUCGGAUCGUAAAGCUCUGUUGUUAGAGAAGAACACGUGCUAGGUAACUACUAGCGCCUUGACGGUAUCUAACCAGAAAGUCACGGCUAACUACGUGCCAGCAGCCGCGGUAAUACGUAGGUGACAAGCGUUGUCCGGAUUUAUUGGGCGUAAAGGGAGCGCAGGCGGUCUGUUUAGUCUAAUGUGAAAGCCCACGGCUUAACCGUGGAACGGCAUUGGAAACUGACAGACUUGAAUGUAGAAGAGGAAAAUGGAAUUCCAAGUGUAGCGGUGGAAUGCGUAGAUAUUUGGAGGAACACCAGUGGCGAAGGCGAUUUUCUGUCUAACAUUGACGCUGAGGCCGAA